GCAAGUCGAACGAGGGUAGCAAUACCUAGUGGCGCACGGGGUGAGUAACGCGUGGAUAAUCUGCCUUAGAGUGGGGGAUAACCAGUCGAAAGAUUGGCUAAUACCGCAUAAGACCACAGGAGCUGCGGCUCUCGAGGUCAAAGGUUUUUCGCUCUAAGAUGAGUCCGCGUAAGAUUAGCUAGUUGGUGAGGUAAUGGCUCACCAAGGCAACGAUCUCUAACUGGUCUGAGAGGAUGAUCAGUCACACUGGAACUGAGACACGGUCCAGACUCCUACGGGAGGCAGCAGUAGGGAAUAUUGCACAAUGGAGGAAACUCUGAUGCAGCGACGCCGCGUGAGUGAUGAAGGCCUUCGGGUCGUAAAGCUCUGUCGCAGGGGAAUAACACAAUGAAGGUACCCUGUAAGAAAGGAUCGGCUAACUUCGUGCCAGCAGCCGCGGUAAGACGAGGGAUCCUAGCGUUGUUCGGAAUCAUUGGGCGUAAAGCGGGUGUAGGUGGCUUUGUAAGUCAGGUGUGAAAGCCUAGGGCUCAACCCUAGAAGUGCAUUUGAUACUGCGAAGCUUGAGUGUGGGAGAGGAUAGUAGAAUUGUUGGUGUAGUGG
RNAcentral lists this ribosomal RNA (600 nucleotides) under uncultured bacterium. RNAcentral describes it as "bacterial SSU rRNA". It matches the Rfam family "Bacterial small subunit ribosomal RNA", at positions 57 to 681 of the family's 1533-position model. The record is from RNAcentral.